CCUACGGGAGGCAGCAGUGGGGAAUAUUGCGCAAUGGGCGAAAGCCUGACGCAGCGACGCCGCGUGAGGGAUGAAGGUCUUCGGAUCGUAAACCUCUGUCAGCAGGGAAGAACGGUCACUGUGCUAAUCAGCAGUGAAUUGACGGUACCUGCAAAGGAAGCACCGGCUAACUCCGUGCCAGCAGCCGCGGUAAUACGGAGGGUGCGAGCGUUAAUCGGAAUUACUGGGCGUAAAGCGCUCGUAGGCGGUAUGUCAAGUCAAGGGUGAAAUCCCCGCGCUCAACGUGGGAACUGCCUUUGAAACUGGCAGACUGGAGUGUGUGAGAGGAUAGCGGAAUUCGAGGUGUAGGAGUGAAAUCCGUAGAUAUCUGGAGGAACAUCAGUGGCGAAGGCGACUAUCUGGCACAUAACUGACGCUGAGGAGCGAAAGCGUGGGUAGCAAACAGGAUUAGAUACCCUGGUAGUC
Molecule: ribosomal RNA, 465 nt
Filed under: uncultured bacterium
Lineage: Bacteria
Description: partial 16S ribosomal RNA
Rfam family: Bacterial small subunit ribosomal RNA
Source: RNAcentral